This 4889-nucleotide unclassified non-coding RNA is filed under the name Hevea brasiliensis (rubber tree). The record is from RNAcentral. Lineage: Eukaryota; Viridiplantae; Streptophyta; Magnoliopsida; Malpighiales; Euphorbiaceae.
UCUACCAACAGGAUAUACAACCUGCACUCCCUCACAAAAUCCACAAAAACAAGUGAAGGAAAAAGUAUAAGAAACUUAGGCAGAAAGGAAAGAAGAAGCAGUGUAGUCAAAAAGCCCUCACAAAAGUACUACAACAAAUAGAAAAGCCCUUUUACAUAUGCUAUGCUAAGCGAAGCGCGUUUUGUGAAGCAAGGGCUUUUUACGCUUAAAGCGCAAAGAGCACACACGCGCACAAAAAGCGCAAAGCACAAAGAGCCUUAACUUUAAGGCCAACGUUGGAAGAUGUUGAGACUGAUUUAGAUGAAGAUUUUGAUGUAAAUUGAUCUUAUUUUGGGGAUGAGGAUGAAAUUGUUGAGGACUCUGAUAAGAAAUCUAGUGAAUAUCUCUAGGCUAUGAUUAUGAAUUUAAAUGUUAAAAACUUUUGGAUAUUUGAUGAUUUACUAAGGGUAUAAAUUUUAUAUAGAUAAUUGUAUUUUCUUCGUAUAUUAUAUUAUUAGUUAAGUUUUUACUAAUUUUGCGCUUUCUUCAAUGAAGAAAUUGCAUUUUUUGUGCUUUACACUUUGAACGAUAGGGUGAUGCAUCACUUUGAGUGUGCCUUAUGCUUUUAACUACCUUGGUUAAUAGUAGAGUUUUAAUAGUUUUAUGAUAAUGAUUUUGCUAGUUAGAUUGUCUAAUUUCCUUCUUUUUUUAAUGUAUCUUUGUAGAUAAAUUUAGAUUAUGGUUUAGAUGACCUUUAGAAAGGAUUACUUAAAUUAUGUUUUGUCAGAACUGCCUUCAACCAGAGGCGAGGACCUGCAGACCAAGUGCUUGCUUGAACUCUAUGGAUUAAAGGUAAACUUGAUAUGUUAUAAUUGCCAGUGUUAUGUCAAGUUUGUGCUUGUUCAUAAGUUUUUAUUUGAGAGUAAAAGCUGUCAUCUGAAUUGAUGAUAAGACAGAAUUUGGUUGCUUUACAGUGGAAUGAUAUUUCUCCAAGAAACUUACUGUCUAGUCGGAUGAAAAACAAUUCACCAUCUAAAAGUAGAAUCCUGUUUUAUCCUCUUUCUAUAAACAUGUUGAACUUUAUUGCUGAUUCUUAGGAAUGCUCUUUUGGAGGAGUUUUUGAGAGCCUGUAAAGCAAACCUAAAUUUAGCUCAAUUAUAAGUCACUAAUUUCUUUUUUGGUAUUUUGCUGGAUUCAAUGCUAAAGAAGCUUUUUCGUUGAUGUUAGUGGAUGAUUAUGUUUAUUUGUUCUCUUUGGGGAUCGAGGGAUGACAUAUGUUUUGUCCUUGUGGGCAAGUACUUUUUUCUGGCAGCUAGCAGAGUUGCAAAGGAAAGUACAAUCAGAAGUGAGUUCAGAGUAUUGGCUUCGCUUGAAUUGUGCAUCUCCUGAUAAGCAGUUAUUUGACUGGGGUAUGAUGAGAUUGCGUCGACCUUUAUAUGGCAUAGGAGAUGCUUUUGCCACAGAAGCUGAUGAUCAAUUCAGGAAGAAACGGGAUGUGGAGAGGCUUUCAAGAUUAGAAGAAGAAGAGAGAAACCAUAUAGAGACUAGGAAAAGAAAAUUUUUUGCAGAAAUACUUAAUGCAGUUCGAGAGUUCCAAUUGCAAGUUCAGGCUUCUCUUAAGCGCAGAAAGCAAAGGAAUGAUGGGGUCCAGGCAUGGCAUGGAAGGCAAAGGCAGCGUGCUACUCGAGCUGAAAAACUGAGGUUUCAAGCCCUGAAGGCGGAUGAUCAAGAAGCUUAUAUGAGAUUAGUAAAGGAGAGCAAGAAUGAGCGACUUACAAUGCUUCUUGAAGAAACAAAUAAACUUCUUGUUAAUUUGGGGGCUGCAGUUCAGCGUCAGAAAGAUGGAAAACAUUCAGAUGGCAUUGAACCCUUGAAAGACUCAGAAGCUGAUUCUCCUGAGUUGGAUCCUUCAAGAAAUGAAAGCCCAGGGGAUACACCUGAGGAAGAUGCAGACAUCAUUGAGUCUGAUCGCAAUGAUGAUAGUAGUGAUUUACUUGAAGGUCAGCGGCAGUAUAACUCAGCCAUUCAUUCAAUUCAGGAGAAGGUAACAGAGCAGCCAUCCAUUCUUCAAGGUGGACAAUUAAGAUCAUACCAGUUAGAAGGACUUCAAUGGAUGCUCUCUUUGUUCAACAACAAUUUAAAUGGAAUAUUAGCUGAUGAGAUGGGAUUGGGGAAGACAAUACAAACCAUUUCAUUGAUUGCUUAUCUGAAGGAGAAAAAAGGUGUCUGUGGGCCGCACUUGAUAGUGGCUCCAAAGGCUGUACUACCCAAUUGGAUCAAUGAAUUCUCAACAUGGGUUCCUGAGGAUGAGUAUGUGAAAAGCAUUCCUUGAUUUUACAAUGUCUUUCUCAGGAUGCGGAUGUAUUGUGUGCACAUGCAUGCCAUGUACCAUUUGCUUUGAAAUUGCUCAUACUUUUUCUUCCAGGUCCAGGAUUAAAGCUGUUCUUUAUGAUGGGCGUCUAGACGAGAGAAAGGCAUUGAGGGAACAGUUAUCAAGAGAUGGAAACUUUGAUGUGUUGAUCACACACUAUGAUCUAAUCAUGAGAGAUAAAGCAUUUUUGAAAAAAAUUUACUGGGUUUACAUGAUUGUUGAUGAAGGGCAUCGAUUAAAGAAUCAUGAGUGUGCUCUGGCACGAACUCUUCUGUCCGGCUACCAGAUUCAACGUAGACUUCUACUAACUGGAACCCCAAUCCAGAAUAGCUUACAAGAAUUAUGGUCUCUGCUUAAUUUUCUCCUCCCAAAUAUUUUUAAUUCAGUUCAGAACUUUGAGGAAUGGUUCAAUGCUCCUUUCGCGGAUAGGGGUGAUGUUACUCUUACUGACGAGGAGCAGUUGUUGAUCAUUCGGCGUUUGCAUCAUGUUAUUAGGCCGUUUAUACUGAGGAGGAAAAAAGAUGAGGUGGAGAAAUACCUCCCUGGGAAGUCCCAAGUUAUACUGAAAUGUGAUAUGUCAGCAUGGCAGAAAGUUUAUUACCAACAAGUUACGGAAAUGGGCAGAGUUGGCCUACAUACUGGCUCUGGGAAAUCAAAAAGUCUACAGAACUUAUCCAUGCAGCUCAGAAAGUGUUGUAACCACCCAUACCUAUUUGUUGGAGAAUAUAAUAUAUGGCGGAGGGAAGAAAUCAUGAGAGCUUCUGGAAAGUUUGAACUACUUGAUCGUUUACUCCCAAAACUUCGAGCAACAGACCAUAGAGUGCUGCUUUUCUCACAAAUGACCCGUCUUAUGGACAUUCUUGAAGUUUAUUUGCAACUACAUGACUAUAAGUAUCUUAGACUUGAUGGGUCAACAAAAACUGAGGAAAGAGGAUCUUUACUAAAGCAAUUCAAUGCUCCAGACUCUCCUUAUUUCAUGUUUCUCUUAAGCACUCGUGCUGGAGGACUUGGUUUGAAUUUACAAACAGCUGAUACCGUCAUAAUAUUUGAUAGUGAUUGGAAUCCUCAAAUGGACCAACAAGCAGAGGAUCGGGCACAUCGUAUUGGACAAAAGAAGGAAGUUAGGGUCUUUGUGUUGGUUAGUGUUGGAUCAAUAGAAGAGGUAAUCUUGGAGCGUGCAAAACAGAAGAUGGGAAUCGAUGCCAAAGUUAUCCAGGCAGGACUUUUUAAUACAACAUCCACUGCCCAGGACAGAAGAGAGAUGUUAGAGGAGAUAAUGCGAAGAGGAACAAGCUCACUUGGUACAGAUGUGCCAAGUGAGAGAGAAAUUAACCGCCUUGCAGCUAGAUCACCAGAAGAGUUUCGGAUCUUUGAGGGUAUGGAUAAGGAGAGAAGGCAGAAGGAGAAUUAUAGAUCUCGUCUUAUGGAAGAGCACGAGGUACCUGAAUGGGCAUAUUCCCACCCUGAUAAGGAAGACAAAACCAAAGCAUUAGAGCAGAAUAAUACUGCUGUCUUGGGGAAGCGGAGAAGAAAGGAGGUCACCUAUGCUGAUACAUUAAGCGAUUUACAAUGGAUGAAGGCUGUCGAAAGUGGACAAGACAUAUCAAAGCUGUCAACUAAAGGAAGGAGACGGGAACAUCUUCCAGCCGAAGGCAAUGAAUCAGCUAGUAAUAGUGCUGGAACAGAAAAAAGGGCUUUUGAAUUGAGGAAUGAAGUCAUGACCACGGCAAGUGAGGGAACAAGUGAAGAUACUUUUGGUUCAACCCAAAAGAGAUUCAAGCCUGAUGGAGGAAUUCAUGAAAAUCCUGAAUAUCAGAGUGUAGAAAAGUCUGAACAUCAAGGAGUCAGAGGAAACAAUUGGAGUGGGCAUGUGUUUACAUGGAAUGCCCAUAAGAAGAAGAGAUCUAGCUAUGUCAUCCAGAAUUCAUCAUCUGAUUCCAGAGGGCAGAAUUCCAAUGGAAGGGGAAACGGUUGGGCCUGAUUUAAUCCUACAAAAAAAAUUCCAGUGAUGGGGGAUUCUGAAGGUUCCCUGAGCCUUAUUAUCUUUUGUUGCUGAUGUGUAGCACCCAAGGCUUGAAUGGGUUGUCAGUUGUCACUGGUGGCCUGUGGAGUAACUGCUUGCCUGUUGAUUAUGCACAAUUAAUCUCUGUUUUGGCAUCUGCAACUUGGAUUGCGCCAACCAGCAAACUAAUGUAACAUAACCCAAGUUAAGAAAUAUGACCCCAUCUCAUCUCCAUUGGGACUGCACUAGAAUGGAUGGGAAUGCAAAGCUGUGGCCACUUCUAUUUAUGGGUACUUGUAAUAUUACGCAUCAGGAAGAACGCUAUGCUUCCCUAAUUUGUGAAAUUUAUCUUUUAUCUUUAUUCUGGCUUUUAAAGAGCCAAUUUUUUAAAGUUGGAUGCCUAUCUGAGACAGCUAUGCGUAGUACAUUAGACAGGUUUUUGAUGGGAAUGUUUUAUAUUUGUGGUCCACAGAGGCUAAAUAGGACAUGAACAUGAUAAUAAAAGCUUCUGGGUCUGAAAUAAAUAUUCUAUGAAGC